AUGGCUGGAUCUAAAGCUAUAUGUUCUUCCACCUUUCACGAAGCAAAUGCCGCUCAAACGACGAGAACUCUGAUGCCUUAUCCUCCUCCUCCUCCUCCUCCUAAAAGCAUUACAGAUCAAGUUGUGAGCCCCGAGGGAGACCGAGGUAUCCAUGCUCCUCUGCAUGAUCGGAUAGAGAAACCAUCGACAAAGAAUCUUCAAAAAUAUCCUCUCUAUGCUCACAUCUUGAAUAUUGGGAUACCAAAGUCGUUAGAGAAUCCUUAUAAAUUGAACAAGUACAAUAGGAAAGGAGAUCCUGACAAGAAUGUGUAA
Non-coding RNA from Vicia faba (fava bean), 312 nucleotides. NCBI's taxonomy places the organism in Eukaryota, Viridiplantae, Streptophyta, Magnoliopsida, Fabales, Fabaceae. The record is from the annotation of a GenBank genome assembly.